CUCUAGCUGAUGAGUCCGAAAUAUGACGAAACGCAUGUCCAAGAU
Non-coding RNA from Schistosoma haematobium, 45 nucleotides. NCBI's taxonomy places the organism in Eukaryota, Metazoa, Platyhelminthes, Trematoda, Strigeidida, Schistosomatidae. The record is from Rfam.